RNAcentral lists this ribosomal RNA (356 nucleotides) under uncultured Anoxybacillus sp. RNAcentral describes it as "bacterial SSU rRNA". It matches the Rfam family "Bacterial small subunit ribosomal RNA", at positions 1027 to 1382 of the family's 1533-position model. The record is from RNAcentral. Lineage: Bacteria; Bacillati; Bacillota; Bacilli; Caryophanales; Anoxybacillaceae.
CAGGGUGACAGGUGGUGCAUGGUUGUCGUCAGCUCGUGUCGUGAGAUGUUGGGUUAAGUCCCGCAACGAGCGCAACCCUCGACCUUAGUUGCCAGCAUUCAGUUGGGCACUCUAAGGUGACUGCCGGCUAAAAAGUCGGAGGAAGGUGGGGAUGACGUCAAAUCAUCAUGCCCCUUAUGACCUGGGCUACACACGUGCUACAAUGGGCGGUACAAAGGGUCGCGAACCCGCGAGGGGGAGCCAAUCCCAAAAAGCCGCUCUCAGUUCGGAUUGCAGGCUGCAACUCGCCUGCAUGAAGCCGGAACCGCUAGUAAUCGCGGAUCAGCAUGCCGCGGUCGAAUACGUUCCCGGGCCUU